This 1513-nucleotide ribosomal RNA is filed under the name metagenome. RNAcentral describes it as "bacterial LSU rRNA". It matches the Rfam family "Bacterial large subunit ribosomal RNA", at positions 1307 to 2925 of the family's 2925-position model. The record is from RNAcentral.
UAACGAAAAAAAGGGAGAGAUACCCUUUCGCCGUAAGACUAAGGGUUCCUUGUUCGAUGCUAAUCAGAACAGGGUUAGCCGGGACCUAAGGAGAAGCCGAUAGGCGAAUCUAAUGGAAAGCGGGUUAAAAUUCCUGCGCCUGCGUACACUAAAAAGGGGACGGAGGUAUGUAGUGUCUAGGUACUGACGGAAAAGUGCGUUGAGAGGAAGCUUAGGCGGACUCGAAGACAUGAGUUACCUUCCAAGAAAAGCCGAAGUACGCAGCCCGUACCGCAAACCGACACAGGUAGUCGAGGAGAGUAUCCUAAGGCGCUCGAGUGAUCCACGGUUAAGGAACUAGGCAAAUUAGCCCCGUAACUUCGGGAGAAGGGGCUCCCACCGCGAGGUGGGACGCAGUGAAGAGGCCCAGGCGACUGUUUAACAAAAACACAGGACUCUGCGAAAUCGAAAGAUGAAGUAUAGGGUCUGACACCUGCCCGGUGCCGGAAGGUUAAGGAAGGGAGUUAGCUUCGGCGACGCUCUUGACUGAAGCCCCGGUAAACGGCGCCGUAACUAUAACGGUCCUAAGGUAGCGAAAUUCCUUGUCGGGUAAGUUCCGACCUGCACGAAUGGUGUAACGAUCUGGGCACUGUCUCAACCGUGAGCUCGGUGAAAUUGAAGUAUCGGUGAAGAUACCGGUUACCCGCAACGGGACGGAAAGACCCCGUGAACCUUUACUAUAGCUUCACAUUGGUCUUGAGUAUAGGAUGUGUAGGAUAGGUGGGAGGCGAUGAAGUUGCGACGCUAGUUGUGGUGGAGCCGUCCUUGAAAUACCACCCUUCUUGUACUUAGGUUCUAAUCCCGAUUUAUCGGGAGACAGUGUGUGGUGGGUAGUUUGACUGGGGUGGUCGCCUCCGAAAGAGUAACGGAGGCUUGCAAAGGUACCCUCAGCAUGGUUGGUAACCAUGCGAAGAGCGCAUGAGUAUAAGGGUGCUUGACUGCGAGACGGACGCGUCGAACAGGGACGAAAGUCGGCUCAAGUGAUCCGGUGGUUCCGCAUGGAAGGGCCAUCGCUCAAAGGAUAAAAGGUACUCCGGGGAUAACAGGCUGAUCUCCCCCAAGAGCUCACAUCGACGGGGAGGUUUGGCACCUCGAUGUCGGCUCGUCGCAUCCUGGGGCUGGAGAAGGUCCCAAGGGUUGGGCUGUUCGCCCAUUAAAGCGGCACGCGAGCUGGGUUCAGAACGUCGCAAGACAGUUCGGUCCCUAUCUGUUGCGGGCGUUGGAGUAUUGAGGAGAUCUGACUCUAGUACGAGAGGACCGGGUUGGACGUACCGCUUGUGUACCAGUUGUACCGCCAGGUGCACCGCUGGGUAGCUAUGUACGGAAUGGAUAAGCACUGAAAGCAUCUAAGUGCGAAGCCAACUCCAAGAUGAGUACUCCUUGAGGGUUGUGGGAGAUGACCACGUUGAUAGGCUACAGGUGGAAGCGCAGUGAUGUGUGGAGCCGAGUAGUACUAAUUACCCGAAAGCUUCCU